GAGAAUUUAACAGGGAGAGCAGAGGAGAUGGAGAGAUAAGAGAAGAGGCGGUAAUAUAUAGAGAUUGAGGACGAUUGAAAGAUUGGGGAGAAGGAGCAACAAGAGGUUAAAUAAGGUUUGGGGAAAAAAAAGAGAGAUCAGACUGUUACUGUGUCUAUGUAGAAAGAAGUAGACAUAAGAAACCCCAUUUUGGUCUGUACUAAGAGAAAUUAGUCUGCUUUGAGAUGCUGUUAAUCUGUAACCCUAGCCGCAACCCUGUGCUCACAGAAACAUGUGCUGUGUUGACCCAAGGUUUAAUGGAUUUAGGGCUGUGCAGGCUGUGCUUUGUUAAAAUGUGUUUGCAGGCAGUAUGCUUGGUAAAAGUCAUCGCCAUUCUCCAGUCUCGAGUACCCUGGGACAGAAUACACUGUGGAAGGCCGCAGGGACCUCUGCCCAAGAAAGCCUGGGUAUUGUCCAAGGUUUCUCUCCACUGAGACAGCCUGAGAUAUGGCCUCGUGGGAAGGGAAAGACCUGACCAUCCCCCAGCCAGACACCCGUAAAGGGUCUGUGCUGAGGACGGUUAGUGAAAGAGAUAGCCCUCUUUGCAGUUGAGAUAAGAGGAAGGCCUCUGUCUCCUGCUCCUCCCUGGGAAUGGAAUAUCUUGGUGUAAAACCCAAUCGUAUGUUCUGUUUACAGAGAUAGGAGAAAACUGCCUUAUGGCUGUAGGUGAGACAUGCUGGUGGCAAUACUGCUGUUUACUGCACUGAGAUGUUUGUGUAAAGUCAAACAUAAAUCUACCCUACAUGCACAUCGAGGUACAGCAUCUUUCCUUAAACUUAUUUAUGACACAGAGAGCUUUGCUUACAUGAUUUCCUGCUGACCUUCUCCCCACCAUUACCCUACAGUCCUUCCACAUCCCCCUCUCUGAGAUGGUAGAGAUAGUGAUCAAUAAAUAUUGAGGGAACUCAGAGACCUCGGCUGGUGCGGAUCCUCCGUAUGCUGAGUGCUGGUCCUCUGAGCCCACUGUUCUUUCUCUAUACGUUGUCUCUGUCUUAUUUCUUUUCUCAGUCUCUCAUCUCACCUGAUGAGAAAUACUCACAGGUGUGGAGGGGCUGGCCCCCUUCAAUAAGGACCAGACGCUGUGGCUCAUGCCUAUAAUCCCAGCACUUUGGGAGGCUGAGGUGGGCGGAUCACCUGAGGUCCAGAGUUUGAGAGCAGCCUGACCAACAUGGAGAAACCCCGUCUCUACUAAAAAUACAAAAUAA
Molecule: long non-coding RNA, 1244 nt
Filed under: Homo sapiens (human)
Lineage: Eukaryota; Metazoa; Chordata; Mammalia; Primates; Hominidae
Description: non-protein coding lnc-ZNF611-5:4
Source: RNAcentral